This 74-nucleotide ribosomal RNA is filed under the name Clostridioides difficile. RNAcentral's name for it is "partial 16S ribosomal RNA". The stretch from base 1 to 65 matches the Rfam family "Bacterial small subunit ribosomal RNA", at positions 1469 to 1533 of the family's 1533-position model. Lineage: Bacteria; Bacillati; Bacillota; Clostridia; Peptostreptococcales; Peptostreptococcaceae. The record is from RNAcentral.
UAAUAACUGGGGUGAAGUCGUAACAAGGUAGCCGUAUCGGAAGGUGCGGCUGGAUCACCUCCUUUCUAAGGAGA